RNAcentral lists this ribosomal RNA (474 nucleotides) under uncultured bacterium. RNAcentral describes it as "bacterial SSU rRNA". It matches the Rfam family "Bacterial small subunit ribosomal RNA", at positions 28 to 493 of the family's 1533-position model. The record is from RNAcentral.
GAUGAACGCUAGCGGCAGGCUUAACACAUGCAAGUCGAGGGGCAGCGAGAGAGUAGCAAUACUUUUGUCGGCGACCGGCGGACGGGUGCGUAACGCGUAUGCAACCUACCUUAUACAGGGGGGAUAACCUUUCGAAAGGGAGACUAAUACCGCAUAACAUUACUUUGAGGCAUCUUGAGGUAAUUAAAUCUUCGGAGGUAUAAGAUGGGCAUGCGUAGCAUUAGCUAGAUGGUGCGGUAACGGCGUACCAUGGCGACGAUGCUUAGGGGUUCUGAGAGGAAGGUCCCCCACACUGGUACUGAGAUACGGACCAGACUCCUACGGGAGGCAGCAGUGAGGAAUAUUGGUCAAUGGUCGGAAGACUGAACCAGCCAUGCCGCGUGCAGGAAGAAUGUCUAUGGAUUGUAAACUGCUUUUGUAUGGGGCUAAUAAUAACUUUGCGAAGUUAGAUGCAGGUACCAUACGAAUAAGGAU